AUGUCUUCGAUUUUUGCUGGAACUAAUCAAUUUUUUGCUUCCAUGUACUUUUUUGCUGGAACCAUUGUAUCGAUUUUGCUACAACCAUUUUCUUUUGCUACUACCGCCUUGUUGAUUUGUUACAUCCAUUUUCUCAUGAUGUUACCGAGACCCACAACUAUGUGGUUUUUGCUGCGAUUAUUGUCAAUUUUUGCUACCACCGGUGUCAACAUUUGUUGCUUUCACGCUCGUGCAAAUAAGAGUUGCAACCAAGAACAACGGCGAGGUGUAGCGGCGGUGCGGGGUGUUUUUCAACCGAGGUGUUUAGGGCAUUGCGAGUUGUUGGGGAAGUAG
RNAcentral lists this ribosomal RNA (333 nucleotides) under Triticum aestivum (bread wheat). RNAcentral describes it as "partial small subunit ribosomal RNA". Lineage: Eukaryota; Viridiplantae; Streptophyta; Magnoliopsida; Poales; Poaceae. The record is from RNAcentral.